Molecule: ribosomal RNA, 739 nt
Filed under: uncultured fungus
Lineage: Eukaryota; Fungi
Description: eukaryotic LSU rRNA
Rfam family: 5.8S ribosomal RNA (bases 225-378)
Source: RNAcentral
GGUUGUUGCUGGCCCUCUCGGGGGCAUGUGCACACCCACCAUCCUCAUCUCUCCACCUGUGCACCUCUUGUAGACCUGGAUAGACUUUCCGAGGCAACUCGGUCGGGAAGAUUGCUGCGCUCUGUGAGCCAGCUUUCUUUGCAUGUCCAGGCCUAUGUUUUUCAUAUACCCCUAUAGAAUGUAACAGAAUGUAUCAUUGGGCCUUGUGCCUAUAAACCUUAUACAACUUUCAGCAACGGAUCUCUUGGCUCUCGCAUCGAUGAAGAACGCAGCGAAAUGCGAUAAGUAAUGUGAAUUGCAGAAUUCAGUGAAUCAUCGAAUCUUUGAACGCACCUUGCGCUCCUUGGUAUUCCGAGGAGCAUGCCUGUUUGAGUGUCAUUAAAUUCUCAACCUUAUUAGCUUUUGUUGAUAAUGGAUUGGAUGUGGGGGUUUAUUUUGCUGGCUUCUUCACAGAGAUCAGCUCCCCUUAAAUGCAUUAGCUGGUGCCCCGCGUGGACCAUCUAUUGGUGUGAUAAUUAUCUACGCCGUGGAUGUCUGCAAUCAUAUGGGUUUUGCACUGCUUCUAACCGUCUGUUCAUUCGGACAAUACAUGACAAUUUGACCUCAAAUCAGGUAGGACUACCCGCUGAACUUAAGCAUAUCAAUAAGCGGAGGAAAAGAAACUAACAAGGAUUCCCCUAGUAACUGCGAGUGAAGCGGGAAAAGCUCAAAUUUAAAAUCUGGCGGUCUCCGGCCGUCC